Danionella cerebrum is the source of this 74-nucleotide non-coding RNA. Lineage: Eukaryota; Metazoa; Chordata; Actinopteri; Cypriniformes; Danionidae. The record is from the annotation of a GenBank genome assembly.
GCCCUCCUGUGGCUCAGUUGGUAGAGGGUUGCGCCAACAAUGCAAAGGUUGUGGGUUCAAUCCCAGGGAAAGCA